Sapajus apella (tufted capuchin) is the source of this 902-nucleotide RNA transcript. It is a transcript of the gene named nucleoside diphosphate kinase A pseudogene, with no coding region annotated. The record is from RefSeq and is a predicted model, not a curated record. Lineage: Eukaryota; Metazoa; Chordata; Mammalia; Primates; Cebidae. The transcript is spliced from 2 exons.
AUGCCCGCUGCCCAGGCCACCUGGACUCAGCCUCGCCAGGUGCCACCAGAGGCCUGGACCCCCAGGAUUCCCCGCGCUCGCGCCUCUCGUCCAACUCGUGACCCUCGCCAACCGCCCUGCGGGCCCAGGGGGGCCGGGAGCGGGGCGGUCAUCCGGACCAAAGCCAUGACCUCUCACUGCCCAGGCCGCCAGCCCGCCCGGAAGCCAAAGAAAAAGAAAGAAAGAGAGCUCAAGCCCAAGGAGCUGGAGGGGACCAAAGCCAAAUGUGAGUGUACCUUCAUUGCGAUCAACCAGAUGGGGUCCAGCGGGGUCUUGUGGGAGAGAUUAUCAAGCGUUUUGAGCAGAAGGGAUUCUGCCUUGUUGGUCUGAAAUUCAUGGAAGCUUCUGAAGACCUUCUCAAGGAACACUACCUGAUGGACCGUCCACUCUUUGCCGGCCUGGUGAAAUACAUGCACUCAGGGCCAGUAGUUGCCAUGGUCUGGGAGGGGCUGAACGUGGUGAAGACAGGCCGAGUCAUGCUCGGGGAGACCAACCCUGCGGAUUCCAAGCCUGGGACCAUCCACGGAGACUUCUGCAUACAAGUUGGCAGGAACAUUAUACACGGCAGCGAUUCUGUGGAGAGUGCAGAGAAGGAGAUUGGCUUAUGGUUUCACCCUGAGGAACUGGUAGAUUACAAGAGCUGUGCUCAGAACUGGAUCUAUGAAUGACCAGAUGGCAGACCACAAUGCUUUUCACAUUCAUUUCCCCUCCUUCCCAUGGGCAGAGGACCAGGCUGUGGGAAAUCUAGUUAUUUACAGGAGCUUCUUCAUAAUUUGGAGGGAAACCCUUGGAGCUGUGAGUGCUCCCUGUACAGUGUUACCAUCCCCUACCUCAGAUUAAAAUGCUUCCUCCCAACAGAGGAU